This 429-nucleotide ribosomal RNA is filed under the name Fusobacteriota bacterium. RNAcentral's name for it is "Fusobacteria bacterium partial 16S ribosomal RNA". It matches the Rfam family "Bacterial small subunit ribosomal RNA", at positions 355 to 776 of the family's 1533-position model. The record is from RNAcentral. Lineage: Bacteria; Fusobacteriati; Fusobacteriota.
UGGGGAAUAUUGCGCAAUGGGCGAAAGCCUGACGCAGCGACGCCGCGUGAGUGAUGAAGGUUUUCGGAUCGUAAACCUCUGUCAGAAGGGAAGAAACCGCACUGUGCUAAUCAGCAGUGCCUUGACGGUACCUUCAAAGGAAGCACCGGCUAACUCCGUGCCAGCAGCCGCGGUAAUACGGAGGGUGCAAGCGUUAAUCGGAAUUACUGGGCGUAAAGCGCACGUAGGCUGCUUUGUAAGUCAGGGGUGAAAUCCCACGGCUCAACCGUGGAACUGCCUUUGAUACUGCUUAGCUUGAAUCCGGGAGAGGGUGGCGGAAUUCCAGGUGUAGGAGUGAAAUCCGUAGAUAUCUGGAGGAACAUCAGUGGCGAAGGCGGCCACCUGGACCGGUAUUGACGCUGAGGUGCGAAAGCGUGGGGAGCAAACAGG